Molecule: ribosomal RNA, 523 nt
Filed under: uncultured bacterium
Lineage: Bacteria
Description: bacterial SSU rRNA
Rfam family: Bacterial small subunit ribosomal RNA
Source: RNAcentral
CUAGGAAUCUUGGGAAUGGGCGAAAGCCUGACCCAGCAACGCCGCGUGGGCGAUGAAGGCCUUCGGGUCGUAAAGCCCUUUUGCGGGGGACGAUAAUGACGGUACCCCGCGAAUAAGCCGCGGCUAACUACGUGCCAGCAGCCGCGGUAAUACGUAGGUGGCAAGCGUUGUCCGGAUUUACUGGGCGUAAAGGGCGUGCAGGCGGUUUGUUAAGUCUAGGGUGAAAGCUCCCGGCUCAACUGGGAGAGGUCCUUGGAUACUGGCAAACUUGUGGGAUGCAGAGGAAAGUGGAAUUCCCGGUGUAGUGGUGAUAUGCGUAGAUAUCGGGAGGAACACCAGUGGCGAAGGCGGCUUUCUGGGCCUUACCUGACGCUGAGACGCGAAAGCGUGGGGAGCGAACCGGAUUAGAUACCCGGGUAGUCCACGCCGUAAACUAUGGACACUAGGUGUGGGGGGUAUCGACCCCCUCCGUGCCGCAGCUAACGCAAUAAGUGUCCCGCCUGGGGAGUACGGCCGCAAGGCU